AACGAACGCUGGCGGCAUCCCUAACACAUGCAAGUCGAACGAGACCUUCGGGUCUAGUGGCGCACGGGUGCGUAACGCGUGGGAACCUGCCCUUAGGUUCGGAAUAACUCCCCGAAAGGGGUGCUAAUACCGGAUAAUGUCUUCGGACCAAAGAUUUAUCGCCUUUGGAUGGGCCCGCGUUGGAUUAGCUAGUUGGUAGGGUAAAAGCCUACCAAGGCGACGAUCCAUAGCUGGUCUGAGAGGAUGAUCAGCCACACUGGGACUGAGACACGGCCCAGACUCCUACGGGAGGAAGCAGUGGGGAAUAUUGGACAAUGGGCGAAAGCCUGAUCCAGCAAUGCCGCGUGAGUGAUGAAGGCCUUAGGGUUGUAAAGCUCUUUUACCCGGGAUGAUAAUGACAGUACCGGGAGAAUAAGCUCCGGCUAACUCCGUG
This 433-nucleotide ribosomal RNA is filed under the name uncultured bacterium. RNAcentral's name for it is "partial 16S ribosomal RNA". It matches the Rfam family "Bacterial small subunit ribosomal RNA", at positions 29 to 507 of the family's 1533-position model. The record is from RNAcentral.